AGAGAGUUCGGUGUGCCCGAAAGGGAGCCUGGACACAGGUGCUGCAUGGCUGACGUCAGCUCGUGUCGUGAGAUGUUGGGUUAAGUCCCGCAACGAGCGCAACCCUUGUCACUAGUUGCUACGCAAGGGCACUCUAGUGAGACUGCCGGUGACAAACCGGAGGAAGGUGGGGAUGACGUCAAGUCCUCAUGGCCCUUAUGGGUAGGGCUUCACACGUCAUACAAUGGCGCAUACAAAGGGCUGCCAACCCGCGAGGGGGAGCCAAUCCCAGAAAGUGCGUCGUAGUCCGGAUUGCAGUCUGCAACUCGACUGCAUGAAGUCGGAAUCGCUAGUAAUCGCGGAUCAGCAAUGCCGCGGUGAAUACGUUCCCGGGUCUUGUACACACCGCCCGUCACACCAUGGGAGUGGGUUUCACCAGAAGCCGGUUGCCUAACCGCGAGGGAGGCGCCGACCACGGUGAGAUUCAUGACUGGGGUGAAGUCGUAACAAGGUAACCGU
This 498-nucleotide ribosomal RNA is filed under the name uncultured beta proteobacterium. RNAcentral describes it as "bacterial SSU rRNA". It matches the Rfam family "Bacterial small subunit ribosomal RNA", at positions 1000 to 1503 of the family's 1533-position model. Lineage: Bacteria; Pseudomonadati; Pseudomonadota; Betaproteobacteria. The record is from RNAcentral.